GGCAAUUUGUCCCCGAUUCAGUUUUUUGAGGGAUUUUUUUUUUGAGGGAACGUCCCUGAUUCAGUAGGAGGUUGGGCGCCCGUUCAGCUUUCUCUCGAUCAAUCUGGUGCGCUCUUAUUGAGGGGCUGAGCUGGGCCGGGUGCUACCUGGGCUGUAGCAAAAUAGGAUAAAACAACAGGCAAAAAAAAAAAGAAAUGAGGCCAGUCAAGAUUUGUUAGCCCAUUAGCACCACCAGGCCCAUGGAAGCACCACCCAGCCCAGGGAGCAGCAGGGCUGCUCGAAGCAAGCCUGAGCCACGCUAUCUUCUAUGAAAAGGAAUGUUUUGCUCAAACAAAAAUGAAAAGAAAUAUCAGUUAAAACACGAACACAAAAACACUUCUGUCAUGUUGGCUAUCAACCUUUCAGAUGUUUUUACCUUCUCGGUUGAGCGUUCAAAUUUGGAACACGCAAGUAUUUAACAGAUUUAAUUACUUUGAUUAGCAAAGAUUAAUAGUCAUUAUAGCGUCUCAAAUUUCAUCUCUAUCUUAAAUGUAAUUUUUUUUAUCAAUUACUUAGAAA
RNAcentral lists this long non-coding RNA (558 nucleotides) under Brachypodium distachyon (stiff brome). RNAcentral's name for it is "long non-coding RNA (BDIS_LNC002980)". Lineage: Eukaryota; Viridiplantae; Streptophyta; Magnoliopsida; Poales; Poaceae. The record is from RNAcentral.